AAGUGAGAAGCAAACAUUGCAAUCAGUUUCGACCUGACCUUAGAUAAAUUUAUUUAUCCUCACUUU
Molecule: transfer RNA, 66 nt
Filed under: Polyspathotermes sulcifrons
Lineage: Eukaryota; Metazoa; Arthropoda; Insecta; Blattodea; Termitidae
Description: Cubitermes sulcifrons tRNA-Arg
Source: RNAcentral